RNAcentral lists this ribosomal RNA (498 nucleotides) under uncultured bacterium. RNAcentral's name for it is "bacterial SSU rRNA". It matches the Rfam family "Bacterial small subunit ribosomal RNA", at positions 31 to 518 of the family's 1533-position model. The record is from RNAcentral.
GAACGCUGGCGGCAGGCCUAACACAUGCAAGUCGAACGGUAACAGGAAGCAGCUUGCUGCUCGCUGACGAGUGGCGGACGGGUGAGUAAUGUCUGGGAAACUGCCUGAUGGAGGGGGAUAACUACUGGAAACGGUAGCUAAUACCGCAUAACGUCGCAAGACCAAAGAGGGGGACCUUCGGGCCUCUUGCCAUCAGAUGUGCCCAGAUGGGAUUAGCUUGUUGGUGGGGUAACGGCUCACCAAGGCGACGAUCCCUAGCUGGUCUGAGAGGAUGACCAGCCACACUGGAACUGAGACACGGUCCAGACUCCUACGGGAGGCAGCAGUGGGGAAUAUUGCACAAUGGGCGCAAGCCUGAUGCAGCCAUGCCGCGUUGUAUGAAGAAGGCCUCCGGGUUGUAAAGUACUUUCAGCGGGGAGGAAGGUGUUGUGGUUAAUAACCGCAGCAAUUGACGUUACCCGCAGAAGAAGCACCGGCUAACUCCGUGCCAGCCGCGGC